AACGAACGCUGGCGGCAUGCCUAACACAUGCAAGUCGAACGCGUGUAGCAAUACACGAGUGGCGGACGGGUGAGUAACGCGUGGGAACCUGCCCAAUGGUAGGGAAUAACUGCGGGAAACUGCAGCUAAUACCCUAUGCUCCCUACGGGGGAAAGAUUUAUCGCCAUUGGAGGGGCCCGCGUCGGAUUAGCUAGUUGGCGGGGUAAUGGCCCACCAAGGCUACGAUCCGUAGCNGGUCUGAGAGGAUGAUCAGCCACACUGGGACUGAGAUACGGCCCAGACUCCUACGGGAGGCAGCAGUGGGGAAUAUUGGACAAUGGGGGAACCCUGAUCCAGCAAUGCCGCGUGAAUGAUGAAGGCCUUGGGUUGUAAGUUACUUUUGGCGGGUACGAUGAUGACGGUACCGCAGAUAAGCUCCGGCUAACUUCGUGCCAGCA
This 437-nucleotide ribosomal RNA is filed under the name uncultured bacterium. RNAcentral's name for it is "bacterial SSU rRNA". It matches the Rfam family "Bacterial small subunit ribosomal RNA", at positions 29 to 513 of the family's 1533-position model. The record is from RNAcentral.